UCCGACUUAACGUCGGCAGUCUCUUUAGAGUUCCCAGCAUUACCUGAUGGCAACUAAAGACAAGGGUUGCGCUCGUUGCAGGACUUAACCUAACAUCUCACGACACGAGCUGACGACAGCCAUGCAGCACCUAUGUAGCGCUCUCCGAAGAGAUACCCCACUUUCAUGGGAUUACACCACACUUCGAGCCCAGGUAAGGUUCUUCGCGUUGCAUCGAAUUAAACCACAUGCUCCACCGCUUGUGCGGGCCCCCGUCAAUUCCUUUGAGUUUCACCCUUGCGAGCGUACUCCCCAGGUGGGUCACUUAAUGCGUUAGCGUCGUCACCGAAGGGGUCGAAUCCCCCGACGACUAGUGACCAUAGUUUACGGUGUGGACUAC
Molecule: unclassified non-coding RNA, 379 nt
Filed under: uncultured Chitinivibrionia bacterium
Lineage: Bacteria; Pseudomonadati; Fibrobacterota; Chitinivibrionia
Description: contains 16S-23S intergenic spacer region
Source: RNAcentral